Molecule: unclassified non-coding RNA, 208 nt
Filed under: plant metagenome
Description: partial contains small subunit ribosomal RNA and internal transcribed spacer 1
Rfam family: Eukaryotic small subunit ribosomal RNA (bases 1-46)
Source: RNAcentral
AAGUCGUAACAAGGUCUCCGUUGGUGAACCAGCGGAGGGAUCAUUACCGAGUUUACAACUCCCAACCCUUUGUGAACAUACCUAUCGUUGCCUCGGCGGGCUGCCCGCGCCAGCGCGCUGGACCAGGCCCAGCCGGACCGGCAGAGCCAAACCAUCUUCUGUUUCUCAAGUUUCUUCUGAGUGGCUUUCGAGCAAAAAUAAAUUAAAA